This 479-nucleotide ribosomal RNA is filed under the name uncultured bacterium. RNAcentral's name for it is "bacterial SSU rRNA". It matches the Rfam family "Bacterial small subunit ribosomal RNA", at positions 27 to 507 of the family's 1533-position model. The record is from RNAcentral.
GGAUGAACGCUAGCGGCAGGCUUAACACAUGCAAGUCGAGGGGUAUAGGUUUUCGGACCUAGAGACCGGCGCACGGGUGCGUAACGCGUAUGCAAUCUACCUUUCACAGAGGGAUAGCCCAGAGAAAUUUGGAUUAAUACCUCAUAGUAUUAUAGAAUGGCAUCAUUUUAUAAUUAAAGUCACAACGGUGAAAGAUGAGCAUGCGUCCCAUUAGCUAGUUGGUAUGGUAACGGCAUACCAAGGCAACGAUGGGUAGGGGUCCUGAGAGGGAGAUCCCCCACACUGGUACUGAGACACGGACCAGACUCCUACGGGAGGCAGCAGUGAGGAAUAUUGGUCAAUGGGCGCAAGCCUGAACCAGCCAUGCCGCGUGCAGGAUGACGGUCCUAUGGAUUGUAAACUGCUUUUGCACAGGAAGAAACAACGCUACGUGUAGCGUCUUGACGGUACUGUGAGAAUAAGGAUCGGCUAACUCCGUG